CAAAAAACCUUUCACCACAAUAUUGCAUGAAAAUUCCAGUGACAAUAAUUUUUUGGUUGAAAACAUCGUUUUGCAUGAGUCAUGCAACUGUCACAGUGCAUUCAUGUCAAAUCUGCUUGAUUUUCACACAGCUCACACUAAUACAACUAAAUGCCACGUGAAAUCCAUGCCUGAAAAUUUGGAGGCGUGGUUUGCAGUCAGCUGAGUUUUGGUUUGCAUGAUUAUCAUGCGACCUACGCAUGGAAACUGGUAUGGAAAAAAAUCCAUACACCUUUUCAUGCAACAUUGUGGUGAAAAUUUGUUUGAGUGAGUGGUGCAUCGGUGGUUGCAUGAAUUUCCUGUCUGCAAAUUUUUGGUUCGGUUGUCGAGGAUUUCAGUCGUCAGUCGUCAGUUUAUUCCCGGCGCUCGACUUAGCAAAAAGUGCGUUUGAAGCAAGGGGCUGGAAACUCUAAUAUUACUUAAGAAUACUGAGUAUACUAACGAUAUUCCAGUAUACUUGUUAGUAUACUUACCGAACAGCAAUAAACUGUUAGUAUAUUGAUCUAAGAGUUUCCAACCCCUUGGUUUGAAGUGAGUUUGAGUUUUCUUUGAAAGGCAAAGUUCGUGAAUCACUAUCUUUAAAACCGGAUGGGGACAAAAUCCAACAGAACAUGCCAAUGUUGGAACUUUCGGCUGUCAACCAGUUGCCAUCGGGACAGGCAUCGAACUUGGGUGGCACAAAGCAUUCGGGACAAGCACCAUUAAAUGUCUCUCCCGUCCGCUGCUGCUGCUGCUGCAAAGUAUUCCACCAAGAAGGACCAGAAGCCUUCUCUGCACCUCAAAGCUCCGCGCCACUCAUCACACAUCUAUCUUCCCUGGGCAGAAGGACUCCACGACUUAGUGAAAAGGACGAUGACCGGUUGUACGUCGCCGACUUCGAGAAGUUGCUGCAGUUGGCCCAAGUGUGUUUUUUUUAGCAGAUUGAUGGAUUUUAAAGUGUUUUAGGUAUUAACUAAGUGUGAUUCGUGAUUAGUUUUGAAACUUUGUAUUGAAAGUUCUAUUUGUUUUGAAAAUAAAAAAUUAUGCAAAGUA
Long non-coding RNA from Culex quinquefasciatus (southern house mosquito), 1071 nucleotides. RefSeq lists it as uncharacterized. The transcript is spliced from 3 exons. The record is from RefSeq and is a predicted model, not a curated record. Lineage: Eukaryota; Metazoa; Arthropoda; Insecta; Diptera; Culicidae.